UGCCAGUUGAGGGGAAGACAAAGGU
Molecule: non-coding RNA, 25 nt
Filed under: Rattus norvegicus (Norway rat)
Lineage: Eukaryota; Metazoa; Chordata; Mammalia; Rodentia; Muridae
Source: RNAcentral